AGACAGUUUGGUCCUUAUCUUCUGUGGGCGUAAGAAAUUUGAGCAGACCUGUCCUUAGUACGAGAGGACCGGGAUGGACGAACCUCUGGUGUUCCUGUUGUCGCGCCAGCGGCAAUGCAGGGUAGCUACGUUUGGAAUGGAUAACCGCUGAAAGCAUCUAAGCGGGAAGCCAACUGCAAGAUUAGAUUUCUCUGGGGCUUCGGCCCCCUAAAGACUCCUCGGAGACUACGAGGUUGAUAGGCAUAAAAUGUACGUACUGUAAGGUAUUCAGUUUAUAUGUACUAAUAGGUCGUGAGGCUUUUUUAAA
RNAcentral lists this ribosomal RNA (307 nucleotides) under Moraxellaceae bacterium. Its description in RNAcentral is "partial 23S ribosomal RNA". It matches the Rfam family "Bacterial large subunit ribosomal RNA", at positions 2624 to 2925 of the family's 2925-position model. The record is from RNAcentral. Lineage: Bacteria; Pseudomonadati; Pseudomonadota; Gammaproteobacteria; Moraxellales; Moraxellaceae.